This 75-nucleotide non-coding RNA is filed under the name Acetobacterium wieringae. RNAcentral describes it as "c-di-GMP sequence". It matches the Rfam family "c-di-GMP-I-GGC riboswitch aptamer". The record is from RNAcentral. Lineage: Bacteria; Bacillati; Bacillota; Clostridia; Eubacteriales; Eubacteriaceae.
CAACGAAACGGCAAACCAAUUGAAAAGUUGGGACGCAAAGCUAAGGGCCUGUAAAAUGGCAGCCGGCUACCGAAA